This 23-nucleotide non-coding RNA is filed under the name Mus musculus (house mouse). The record is from RNAcentral. Lineage: Eukaryota; Metazoa; Chordata; Mammalia; Rodentia; Muridae.
UGGGUAUGACUGAGAAAUCUGUG